This 253-nucleotide ribosomal RNA is filed under the name uncultured bacterium. RNAcentral describes it as "partial 16S ribosomal RNA". It matches the Rfam family "Bacterial small subunit ribosomal RNA", at positions 524 to 776 of the family's 1533-position model. The record is from RNAcentral.
UACGUAGGGGGCAAGCGUUGUCCGGAUUUACUGGGCGUAAAGAGCGUGUAGGCGGCCACGCAGGUCCGUUGUGAAAACUGGAGGCUCAACCUCCAGCUGUCGGCGGAAACCAUCUGGCUAGAGUCCGGAAGAGGAGAAUGGAAUUCCCGGUGUAGCGGUGAAAUGCGCAGAUAUCGGGAAGAACACCCGUGGCGAAGGCGGUUCUCUGGGACGGUACUGACGCUGAGACGCGAAAGCGUGGGGAGCGAACAGG